RNAcentral lists this ribosomal RNA (655 nucleotides) under uncultured Bacilli bacterium. Its description in RNAcentral is "bacterial SSU rRNA". It matches the Rfam family "Bacterial small subunit ribosomal RNA", at positions 51 to 691 of the family's 1533-position model. The record is from RNAcentral. Lineage: Bacteria; Bacillati; Bacillota; Bacilli.
AUACAUGCAAGUAGAACGCUGAACUGGUGCUUGCACCGAGCGGAAGAGUUGCGAACGGGUGAGUAACGCGUAGGUAACCUGCCUCUUAGCGGGGGAUAACUAUUGGAAACGAUAGCUAAUACCGCAUAACAAUGGAUGACACAUGUCAUUUAUUUGAAAGGGGCAAUUGCUCCACUACAAGAUGGACCUGCGUUGUAUUAGCUAGUAGGUGAGGUAACGGCUCACCUAGGCGACGAUACAUAGCCGACCUGAGAGGGUGAUCGGCCACACUGGGACUGAGACACGGCCCAGACUCCUACGGGAGGCAGCAGUAGGGAAUCUUCGGCAAUGGGGGCAACCCUGACCGAGCAACGCCGCGUGAGUGAAGAAGGUUUUCGGAUCGUAAAGCUCUGUUGUAAGUCAAGAACGAGUGUGAGAGUGGAAAGUUCACACUGUGACGGUAGCUUACCAGAAAGGGACGGCUAACUACGUGCCAGCAGCCGCGGUAAUACGUAGGUCCCGAGCGUUGUCCGGAUUUAUUGGGCGUAAAGCGAGCGCAGGCGGUUUGAUAAGUCUGAAGUUAAAGGCUGUGGCUCAACCAUAGUUCGCUUUGGAAACUGUCAAACUUGAGUGCAGAAGGGGAGAGUGGAAUUCCAUGUGUAGCGGUGAAAUGCGU